UGGGGAAUUUUGGACAAUGGGCGAAAGCCUGAUCCAGCAAUGCCGCGUGUGUGAAGAAGGCCUUCGGGUUGUAAAGCACUUUUGUCCGGAAAGAAAUCCUCUGGGUUAAUACCUCGGGGGGAGUGACGGUACCGGAAGAAUAAGCACCGGCUAACUACGUGCCAGCAGCCGCGGUAAUACGUAGGGUGCAAGCGUUAAUCGGAAUUACUGGGCGUAAAGCGUGCGCAGGCGGUUUUGUAAGACGGAUGUGAAAUCCCCGGGCUUAACCUGGGAACUGCAUUCGUGACUGCAAGGCUAGAGUAUGGCAGAGGGGGGUAGAAUUCCACGUGUAGCAGUGAAAUGCGUAGAGAUGUGGAGGAAUACCGAUGGCGAAGGCAGCCCCCUGGGCCAAUACUGACGCUCAUGCACGAAAGCGUGGGGAGCAAACAGGAUUAGAUACCCUGGUAGUCCACGCCCUAAACGAUGUCAACUAGUUGUUGGGGAUUCAUUUCCUUAGUAACGUAGCUAACGCGUGAAGUUGACCGCCUGGGGAGUACGGUCGCAAGAUUAAAA
RNAcentral lists this ribosomal RNA (552 nucleotides) under uncultured bacterium. Its description in RNAcentral is "partial 16S ribosomal RNA". It matches the Rfam family "Bacterial small subunit ribosomal RNA", at positions 355 to 899 of the family's 1533-position model. The record is from RNAcentral.